Molecule: non-coding RNA, 104 nt
Organism: Gossypium arboreum
Lineage: Eukaryota; Viridiplantae; Streptophyta; Magnoliopsida; Malvales; Malvaceae
Source: Rfam
AAUCUAUGGUGCGGCCAUUUUGAAUAACAUUUCAAAGUGUUCCUAUACCUUAUAGAAGCUUUCCCCUUCCUUCUGUCUAAAGAAAGCAAGCUCUCUUCUUAAUU